This 253-nucleotide ribosomal RNA is filed under the name uncultured bacterium. RNAcentral describes it as "partial 16S ribosomal RNA". It matches the Rfam family "Bacterial small subunit ribosomal RNA", at positions 524 to 776 of the family's 1533-position model. The record is from RNAcentral.
UACGUAGGGACCGAGCGUUGUCCGGAAUCAUUGGGCGUAAAGAGCGUGUAGGCGGCCACUUAAGUCCUGCGUGAAAUCUUGCGGCUCAACCGCAAGCGGUCGUGGGAAACUGGGUGGCUAGAGUGCGGGAGAGGAGAGUGGAAUUCCUGGUGUAGCGGUGGAAUGCGCAGAUAUCAGGAGGAACACCGGUGGCGAAGGCGGGUCUCUGGGCCGAUACUGACGCUCAUGCACGAAAGCGUGGGGAGCAAACAGG